GCAGAGCAGUUGACACUGAUGGAUGUGGAGGAACUGCAAAAAAUUUAAAACCUUGUGCAGAAUGGACCAGCGGGAGAGGAGGAAACUGCUCACGGAGGGUGUCGUCCCCUUCCUGGGCAUGUUCCUCUAUCACCGAAGCUGCUGAACAUUGGGAUGGAGGAUGAUC
Diceros bicornis minor is the source of this 166-nucleotide long non-coding RNA. RefSeq lists it as uncharacterized. The record is from RefSeq and is a predicted model, not a curated record. Lineage: Eukaryota; Metazoa; Chordata; Mammalia; Perissodactyla; Rhinocerotidae. The transcript is spliced from 3 exons.